Molecule: transfer RNA, 92 nt
Filed under: Anaerolineae bacterium
Lineage: Bacteria; Bacillati; Chloroflexota; Anaerolineae
Description: tRNA-Ser
Rfam family: tRNA
About the family: Transfer RNA (tRNA) molecules are approximately 80 nucleotides in length. Their secondary structure includes four short double-helical elements and three loops (D, anti-codon, and T loops).
Source: RNAcentral
GGAGGGAUGGCCGAGUGGUUUAUGGCAGUGGUCUUGAAAACCACCGUGUCGGUUUGCCGGCACCGUGGGUUCGAAUCCCACUCCCUCCGCCA